AAACUUCAGACCUGUUUUCUUUCUGUACAGUUUCUGGGUGUCACUGACUUCCAUCAGUUAAGGUCAUUCUGUCCAACAAGCUGAACAACUGCCAUUCAGUUUGGGCCUCUGGUCCACGGCCAGGUACCCACGCACGUAUUUCUACUUCUUCAGGCUGCUGGGAUCCUCAGCUUUCCAACAAAGAAUAACAUGACAGCAAUGUGACAGCCGCCUCGGGUUCCUGCCACCGUGCCUUUACCACCACGACAGUGUGACCCUGCUUAAACCGUCAGCCAGAACGCACUCUUCCUCCUUCUCAGUUGGUUCGUGACCAGCAGCCUUCUGGGGAAACUUUUCCUUGCAGUCACAAAGAAUCAACUUGUCAUCUACAUCCACCUCACCCACCCAGCCAGCGCUAAUGAGGGGCUUAGUUAAAAGCGGCAGGAGCCCUACCCAUUGGGAGUUUACACAGCAAGCAUAAUGGCCAUCUAUGGAGCGAGGCUCUGCUCCCUUCUACAAGAGAGAGAAGCCAGUUCCUGGGCCCGACUCUGACUUCACAGGAUCCAGAAUUGUAUUUCUCAGAGAGACUUCUGGCAGAUUUCUUUUAUUGAACUCGGAGAUGAUACCUCCAGUGACCAGAACUAAAGAGCUUGCCCAUCAAUUGGUCCACCAGCUCUCUCUCUCGAGUAUCAGCCAUGACUCCUGCUGGCAGGAGUCAUAAGCUUCCAUUCUCUUGACUUUCUGCUCCUGUUUCCUGGUCGCUCCUGAGCACAGCUGGGCUAUCAGGAGCACCCAUCGUUGGCUGCAGUCUCCUCUGUGUCCUUUUGCAGACCUGCCCAUCCAUACCUCCUGGACUCAGGCCCCAUGCCCAACUGCUAACGCGUUUCCACUUCCACAGGCAACUCGAACAAACACACUCAUAACGUCUCUCUAUAAAACCAUGCUUUCUUGCUGUCAUAAUCC
This is a non-coding RNA of Peromyscus maniculatus bairdii (prairie deer mouse), 942 nucleotides long. Lineage: Eukaryota; Metazoa; Chordata; Mammalia; Rodentia; Cricetidae. The record is from RefSeq and is a predicted model, not a curated record.